AAUUUUAUUUCCAAAGAGUAUUUUUUAGCACACGAGUUUUGCUAAAAAGCAGGGAGGAGGGAUAUACGUUGAUGAUCAAAAUUGGCACAACUGGAAAAACCUGCUUGUCUGUUUUGGGUGACUUUAUCAAAAUGCAAAUUGGACAAACAUGUCAGAAAGCAUUGCAAAACUAGCUAGACCGGUUUUAAUUAUGUAAUCCGAGUAGGAAUUGUAUUUUGAUAUAAAAUUUGUAAGUAUUUCGACUCCUAACCGGGCAAGAUCUCUCCACCCUAUAAAUAUAAAAGAUCACGACCAACCGAGGGCAUGCAAUGAAUCAAUCGAUCUAUAUUUUUAAUCUUUUUGCUCUAUUUUCUCUUUAC
This 359-nucleotide long non-coding RNA is filed under the name Setaria viridis. RNAcentral describes it as "long non-coding RNA (SVIR_LNC011072)". The record is from RNAcentral. Lineage: Eukaryota; Viridiplantae; Streptophyta; Magnoliopsida; Poales; Poaceae.